CGAGCUGUCAGGUUGGCCUCUCAACAGGUACCAGACGCUUGCUUUGGUCAUCUUCUCCUCAGUCCUCGCUCUGGACCUCUGGUUCUGGGAACUGUUUGUCGGUACUGCUGUGAACUGGGCCACUGGGGCUGCUUCGGGACUCGAUCUUCUCACCUAUGGCAUCAUCCAAGAUGGGCAGAAGGGGAAGAAGGAAUCUGUACUUGUCGAGGAAGGUCUGAUUACCGAAUCGCUCCCUAACGGUAUGUUUCGUG
RNAcentral lists this unclassified non-coding RNA (251 nucleotides) under Hevea brasiliensis (rubber tree). The record is from RNAcentral. Lineage: Eukaryota; Viridiplantae; Streptophyta; Magnoliopsida; Malpighiales; Euphorbiaceae.